RNAcentral lists this ribosomal RNA (485 nucleotides) under Vibrio parahaemolyticus. RNAcentral's name for it is "bacterial SSU rRNA". It matches the Rfam family "Bacterial small subunit ribosomal RNA", at positions 1 to 469 of the family's 1533-position model. The record is from RNAcentral. Lineage: Bacteria; Pseudomonadati; Pseudomonadota; Gammaproteobacteria; Vibrionales; Vibrionaceae.
AAAUUGAAGAGUUUGAUCAUGGCUCAGAUUGAACGCUGGCGGCAGGCCUAACACAUGCAAGUCGAGCGGAAACGAGUUACCUGAACCUUAGGGGAACGAUAACGGCGUCGAGCGGCGGACGGGUGAGUAAUGCCUAGGAAAUUGCCCUGAUGUGGGGGAUAACCAUUGGAAACGAUGGCUAAUACCGCAUGAUGCCUACGGGCCAAAGAGGGGGACCUUCGGGCCUCUCGCGUCAGGAUAUGCCUAGGUGGGAUUAGCUAGUUGGUGAGGUAAGGGCUCACCAAGGCGACGAUCCCUAGCUGGUCUGAGAGGAUGAUCAGCCACACUGGAACUGAGACACGGUCCAGACUCCUACGGGAGGCAGCAGUGGGGAAUAUUGCACAAUGGGCGCAAGCCUGAUGCAGCCAUGCCGCGUGUGUGAAGAAGGCCUUCGGGUUGUAAAGCACUUUCAGUCGUGAGGAAGGUGGUAGUGUUAAUAGCACUAU